Molecule: ribosomal RNA, 465 nt
Filed under: Vreelandella stevensii
Lineage: Bacteria; Pseudomonadati; Pseudomonadota; Gammaproteobacteria; Oceanospirillales; Halomonadaceae
Description: partial 16S ribosomal RNA
Rfam family: Bacterial small subunit ribosomal RNA
Source: RNAcentral
CCUACGGGGCGCUGCAGUGGGGAAUAUUGGACAAUGGGCGAAAGCCUGAUCCAGCCAUGCCGCGUGUGUGAAGAAGGCCUUCGGGUUGUAAAGCACUUUCAGUGGGGAAGAAAGCCUUGGGGCUAAUACCCUCGAGGAAGGACAUCACCCACAGAAGAAGCACCGGCUAACUCCGUGCCAGCAGCCGCGGUAAUACGGAGGGUGCAAGCGUUAAUCGGAAUUACUGGGCGUAAAGCGCGCGUAGGCGGUCUGAUAAGCCGGUUGUGAAAGCCCCGGGCUCAACCUGGGAACGGCAUCCGGAACUGUCAGGCUAGAGUGCAGGAGAGGAAGGUAGAAUUCCCGGUGUAGCGGUGAAAUGCGUAGAGAUCGGGAGGAAUACCAGUGGCGAAGGCGGCCUUCUGGACUGACACUGACGCUGAGGUGCGAAAGCGUGGGUAGCAAACAGGAUUAGAUACCCGUGUAGUC